Molecule: non-coding RNA, 227 nt
Organism: Pelobates cultripes (western spadefoot toad)
Lineage: Eukaryota; Metazoa; Chordata; Amphibia; Anura; Pelobatidae
Source: the annotation of a GenBank genome assembly
CUGGUUCGGUACAUUGUAACUAACGAAUGGCGUUCCGUUCAUGCAAUAACUGUCAAACAGAAUGAGAAGUGGAAGUCUCAGUGGUGUUCGUGCUGUCGAGUGACCGAUUUUAGUUCCAUACACUUGACGACAAAACACAGCUUGUCACAUUCGUAUCCCAAGAUGGCCGCCGUCACGUGUUCGUGCAUACGAACGCCGACCACCCAGUUGAUCACUUAGAAUGUUAG